Molecule: long non-coding RNA, 391 nt
Organism: Motacilla alba alba
Lineage: Eukaryota; Metazoa; Chordata; Aves; Passeriformes; Motacillidae
Exons: 3
Source: RefSeq, a predicted model, not a curated record
AAGGGCAUCUGGACACAGCCAUUCCUCUUGGGUUUGCUGCUCAGUGAACCCUCAGACCUUCUCCAGGCAGCCCUGUGUAGACCCAGGACCAGCAGCAGCCAUGAAGAUCCUGUUCCUGCUCCUCCCUCUGAUUCUCCUGUUGGUCCAGGGUGCUGCAGUCGCUAGGGAUGAGACCCUGAAUUUCCCAAGAAGGACAUGCCCCUCGCUUCUGGCUCCUGAAAAUCACUUCCUGAUGGUCCCUUGCCCUCCCUGGCUGUGCGGUGCCCAGCUGGGCUGACAGCAGCAGUGGCAGCUGCUCCUGCUGGGUGCUGCUGGGCUGCAGCUGUGUGGUGCCAGCCCCGGUGUCUUUGGGCCAGGGGCUGCUUUUCCCGGCUUGAAUAAAGACAAGCAC